Molecule: long non-coding RNA, 2518 nt
Organism: Rhododendron vialii
Lineage: Eukaryota; Viridiplantae; Streptophyta; Magnoliopsida; Ericales; Ericaceae
Exons: 3
Source: RefSeq, a predicted model, not a curated record
UAGUUUUCUGGCUGCCUGGGUGACCCGACGAGUCAAAGGGGCAAGAUGGGACAAUAGGUCGAGGAGAGCAGGAAUCCUUUUGUCUGUGUCGCAAAGAAGAGUCGUCGUCGCCACUGUACAUGACUGGGGAGGAGGAUCGCUGAAGGAAUGGAUUGACUUCAAGCCCCGCAUUGUUGAAGACGUGAACUUGAGCACUGGUAAACGUCAUGCCAGAAGGCUGACUCCCAAUGGCCAUAAAGUUCUUAGGUAAGGAUUCUUGACAGUUGACAUUGACUUGCAGUAUAUGAAAUUAUUUUGGUGAAGUAGGAUUUGAUUGCUUUGAAUCCCUGUGGCACUGCAUUAGUAGAUGCCUUGCAAAUUCUUCUUCGUACACUUUCAACAUUUCUUAGAAGUUAGAUUUCACCAGAUUAACUGAUUAAUUUUGACAGUUGACAUUAACUGAUUAAUUUUGUCGGUGAGGUACCAAUACGUACCAAAUGUAUGUUUGAAAAAGGGUCAUCAGGGAUGUUUUUGCCUUCGUAUUGUCAUCAUUUUGAGAUGAUGUCAUCAUUACACCUUGUGUUUGAUGGAAAAAGUGGCAGUGCUCUAAUAAAGCUUACCAACAGAGUUCAAAAGAUGAUUCUAAGGCUCAAUCCUUGAUUUGGCAUGUGUUGGACGAUGUUGGGCUGAAUACUUUCGUUUUGAGUCUAGUCCUAGUUCAGUUUCAUUUGUGUUGCUGUUGAAUUAUAAUGAGUUUUUAGCAGUCAUGAAUUUUUAAACUGUCAGUGAUUGUUGGUUUGGUGUUGCUGGAAUUUUUCUUCCAUGCCCCAUAGUGGUAUUGGGGCAUUGAUGCCCCUAUAAGUAUGAACCAUUAGAUUGAAAAGGCAUAAAUCUCAGCCAUUAGAUCAAAAUCACUCACAAAAACAAGGUAGUUUUAUGAUUUUUCCGCAGGCUACACUUACUAGUACAAUGUAUGACCACACUUACCAUAAUGUAUGGCUAUACUUACCAUAAUGUAUGGCCACAAUCUAUAGUCUAUACUCACACUUACCACAAUGUAUGGCCAUUUUUGACUAUGAGUGAAAUUGAACCAAUAGUUGAGAUUAAAAAAAAGAAAUCCAAUGGUUGGGGGAUAAUGGGAGCAUGGAUGCCCAAAACCGGAUUGGGGCAUCAUAACAAGUGUUUUAGAAACCAAUUUGAAACAAAAAUGUAACACAUGUUUUGAGGUCCCAACAAGGUGGUUUUUGGUCCCUUUUUUCUUUUCAUUAAAAUUAAUGAGGUUAAGGCUUAACCACAUUACACAACAUGCAAACCCUCUCCCUCUCCCUCUCCCUUUAACUGCAAAUCUCUUCAUCUCAAAUUCAGCCAAUUAGGUCAACAAACAUACAAUCCCAAACCAGGUAUAUACAAUUGCAAUGGGGUGCUUCAGAUUUUGUGUUUUGAUUUGUUUAAUUGAGUUGCAAUGGGUCUUUAGUACUUCAAACAAGAGUGAGGGGGUUUCAAAUUCCGACUGAUUUAAAUCCCGGAUGAUGCCCAUCAAAAGAAUCGAAGUGCCAGUCAUGGGCACCCACGAAUCAAAUCGAGAACUUGUAUAAACAACUAAGACUCAAAAAUCAUGAAUUGUAAUUGCGCUCAGAGACUACCCAGUACACGCUUCCAAAAGCCUAAGGCUUUGUCUUCGACUGUUUUGCGUAUUAGGUGUCCAAAUCGGGUAUAUCAGAUAUCAAGGGAUUCGAGGGGGUUUCAAAACUGGGGAGGUGGACCAGACUUCCUAUGAUAAUUUUAUUUGGUUUUCUUUUUCAUUUUCUUCUUCAUUUUUUUUUUGCCAGGAAUUAUUUCAAGGCAAGUUACUUUAGAUGUCCUAUGGAUAUAUCUUGUAACCACUUACAAGUGGGUGGAAAGCCUAGCUCCACUCUCUCCUUGCUGGGUAGAGCUACUCUAGUCUAGUCUAGUCCAAGUUGUUACCUCCACCAUCCCCAAUUAUCUUAUGCAAAUUAAACCACCUUCCUUCCCACUAGCAUUAAUUUGUGAUAUAUAGAAUUGAUAGGUCGAUAUCUAUAGGAAUUUCCUUUUGCGGGACACACCCUCUGAGAGAAAAAGUCCAUUUGGUUAUAUAACUGGGAUAGUGUGUGUAAAAGUAAAAGAGAAGGGGCAUAAAGAAAGGCCAGAGAGAGAGAAUAACAUAGACUUCAUUUAAUAGCCAGUUGGGUUGGAGGCUUCACUGAGAAAAAGCCCCUUUGGGUUCAGCUCCCAAGGAAAAAAAAUACCCUAGUCGUUAUCACAAAUUUCAAAAACUGGGAGGGCAAGCAGAGAUCCACCCACACUUUGAGGAGGAGCAUUUUUAGCAGCAGGGAGGCUAGCUAGGUCAUCCUUAAGGGCGUGAUAUGAUAUGGUUCCUUAGUAAAGGCAAAGAUGUAUGGCAUGACAUAUUGGUGGUGUGGUUCAAAUGCCAUACUGCGCAGGAUUAACCUUCCCUGGCGGCCUUCGCCUCGAUGAGUCCAAAGUUGCUGAUUACCUUAAUGAGGACAAGGAGUGGGAU